UCCUCUAAGGUUUCUGAGCACUCUUCUCCUUGCAGAGACUUCUAUUCACUAGUAUACCUGUUUGCCCCUCAUCAAGUUCUGGCAUUACCCUCCAGUUCCUCCGGAAACUCCUGCUUCACUGCCAUUGAGCUGAGUGACAUCCUGCUCCAGAGGCCAGGGGGCAAGAACAUAAAUCAUGCUCAGCAGUGGAAGGAGAGGGGUGUCCGCACAAGAAGGUCAGGGAUGGAUUUUCCAGGAGGAGAGUUCAAAGUUUAAGGUUUCUGGGAGCAGCAGAUGGCGAGCAAGGGAAGAAGACCAGAUCGGCUACAAAGUGACAAAGCCUCUAAGUUACCUGCACAUUUUGAUUGUUGUAUUACAAUUAUGUAUGUUAACAUGCGUUGUCAAUCCCCAAGAGUGAAAGACUGUGUGGCAUUUCCACACUUACCUCAACACAGAACCCUCUGUGUGCCUCCAAGAAUAAUAAAAGCUAACCCUGAUUUCACACUUAC
Suricata suricatta (meerkat) is the source of this 488-nucleotide long non-coding RNA. RefSeq lists it as uncharacterized. The record is from RefSeq and is a predicted model, not a curated record. The transcript is spliced from 2 exons. Lineage: Eukaryota; Metazoa; Chordata; Mammalia; Carnivora; Herpestidae.